RNAcentral lists this ribosomal RNA (382 nucleotides) under uncultured bacterium. RNAcentral's name for it is "partial 16S ribosomal RNA". It matches the Rfam family "Bacterial small subunit ribosomal RNA", at positions 523 to 898 of the family's 1533-position model. The record is from RNAcentral.
AGACGGAGGGGGCAAGCGUUGUCCGGACUCACUGGGCGUAAAGGGCGCGCAGGCGGUGGGAUGCGUCGGCGCUGAGAGCGCCCGGCUUAACCGGGCGAGGCGCGGCGAUACGAUCCCGCUAGAGGCAGGGAGAGGUUGGCGGAAUUCCGGGUGUAGUGGUGAAAUGCGUAGAGAUCCGGAGGAACGCCUGUGGCGCAAGCGGCCAACUGGUCCUGACCUGACGCUGAGGCGCGAAAGCGUGGGGAGCGAACCGGAUUAGAUACCCGGGUAGUCCACGCGGUAAACGAUGUCGGCUGGGUGUUUGGCGCUGAUUACACCAGCGCGGAGUGCCUAAGCUCACGCGGUAAGCCGACCGCCUGGGGACUACGAGCGCAAGCUUAAA